AUGGCCCCCGCCGCUGCUUCGGGAGAGAUCACGGUCUCGCAUCGCCUUGCGCUUGUCAUCCUCGUCGCUCCAUGGCACUACGUUGCUAGAGCUUCCGGCCUCCAUGUCGUGCGCAAGGUUGCGGUGACGACAGGCGUCUCCACCAGCACCACGACGGGUGUGGCCUCUGCACGCGCCGUCACCUCCCCUCCAGAUCCGGACGUCGUCGAGGGCAUGUCCAUCCAGCAGUGCGCCGUCACCUCCCCUCCAGAUCCAGCCGUCGUCAAGGGCGUAUCCAUCCAGCAGCGCGCCGUCAUCCCAAUCAUCACCGUCCAUGGCGUCAUCGCCCAGGCCCAGUCAGGGGCCGGCAAGACCUCCAUGAUCUCCCUCUUCGUCUGCCAAGUCAUUGAGACCAACGUCCACGAGUAA
This 408-nucleotide ribosomal RNA is filed under the name Triticum aestivum (bread wheat). RNAcentral describes it as "partial small subunit ribosomal RNA". Lineage: Eukaryota; Viridiplantae; Streptophyta; Magnoliopsida; Poales; Poaceae. The record is from RNAcentral.